Molecule: ribosomal RNA, 450 nt
Filed under: uncultured bacterium
Lineage: Bacteria
Description: partial 16S ribosomal RNA
Rfam family: Bacterial small subunit ribosomal RNA
Source: RNAcentral
GUGGGGAAUAUUCCGCAAUGGACGAAAGUCUGACGGAGCAACGCCGCGUGAGUGAUGAAGGUUUUCGGACUGUAAAGCUCUGUUGUUUAGGACGAAAGUGCCUGUUGCAAAUAGUUACAGGUAUUGACGGUACUGAACGAGGAAGCCACGGCUAACUACGUGCCAGCAGCCGCGGUAAUACGUAGGUGGCAAGCGUUGUCCGGAAUUAUUGGGCGUAAAGAGCAUGUAGGCGGGAAUCUAAGUUGGUUGUGAAAAUGCGGGGCUCAACCCCGUAUGGCGAUGGAAACUGGGUUUCUUGGGUGCAGGAGAGGAAAGGGGAAUUCCCAGUGUAGCGGUGAAAUGCGUAGAUAUUGGGAGGAACACCAGUGGCGAAGGCGCCUUUCUGGACUGUGUCUGACGCUGAGAUGCGAAAGCCAGGGUAGCGAACGGGAUUAGAAACCCGAGUAGUCC